GCGAAAGGAGCGGUAAUACCGCAUGAGACCUAUCGCUGGGAUGCGAUAGAUGAAAGCUGGGGAUCGUAAGACCUAGCGCUGAGAGAGAGUCCUGCGUCUGAUUAGUUAGUUGGUGAGGUAACGGCUCACCAAGACUUCGAUCAGUAGCCGGCCUGAGAGGGCGAUCGGCCACACUGGAACUGAGAC
RNAcentral lists this ribosomal RNA (186 nucleotides) under uncultured bacterium. Its description in RNAcentral is "partial 16S ribosomal RNA". It matches the Rfam family "Bacterial small subunit ribosomal RNA", at positions 151 to 325 of the family's 1533-position model. The record is from RNAcentral.